UUUCUUCUUGUGGUAGGACAGAUUUUUGGUGUGAGCCAUAAGGCACAGAUUUGCGGUUUCAUCACUAUCACUUGAACUUUGUGUGCUUGAUGAAUCACUAUCACUUUCCCAUGCAAUGUAAGCUCUUCUUUGUUUGCUGUACCCUUUUGGUGGAGCUUUUCCUUGAUCCUUAUACUUCAUAGGACAAUCUGUUUUAUAAUGUCCAAAUUUACC
This 213-nucleotide long non-coding RNA is filed under the name Lathyrus oleraceus (garden pea). RNAcentral describes it as "Pisum sativum (pea) long non-coding RNA (PSAT_LNC034846)". Lineage: Eukaryota; Viridiplantae; Streptophyta; Magnoliopsida; Fabales; Fabaceae. The record is from RNAcentral.